Molecule: ribosomal RNA, 500 nt
Filed under: Enterococcus faecium
Lineage: Bacteria; Bacillati; Bacillota; Bacilli; Lactobacillales; Enterococcaceae
Description: bacterial SSU rRNA
Rfam family: Bacterial small subunit ribosomal RNA
Source: RNAcentral
GUGCAUGGUUGUCGUCAGCUCGUGUCGUGAGAUGUUGGGUUAAGUCCCGCAACGAGCGCAACCCUUAUUGUUAGUUGCCAUCAUUCAGUUGGGCACUCUAGCAAGACUGCCGGUGACAAACCGGAGGAAGGUGGGGAUGACGUCAAAUCAUCAUGCCCCUUAUGACCUGGGCUACACACGUGCUACAAUGGGAAGUACAACGAGUUGCGAAGUCGCGAGGCUAAGCUAAUCUCUUAAAGCUUCUCUCAGUUCGGAUUGCAGGCUGCAACUCGCCUGCAUGAAGCCGGAAUCGCUAGUAAUCGCGGAUCAGCACGCCGCGGUGAAUACGUUCCCGGGCCUUGUACACACCGCCCGUCACACCACGAGAGUUUGUAACACCCGAAGUCGGUGAGGUAACCUUUUUGGAGCCAGCCGCCUAAGGUGGGAUAGAUGAUUGGGGUGAAGUCGUAACAAGGUAGCCGUAUCGGAAGGUGCGGCUGGAUCACCUCCUUUCUAAGGAA